UUCUCCAGUGGUGAGCUCUGAGACUAAAACCAAGUGUAGGAAACAGGGUUAUUCUUCACAUGGAUGAUUCUGUGCUGAAAGUAUGGAAGCAUCC
Molecule: small nucleolar RNA, 94 nt
Filed under: Sorex araneus (European shrew)
Lineage: Eukaryota; Metazoa; Chordata; Mammalia; Eulipotyphla; Soricidae
Description: Small nucleolar RNA SNORA65 (ENSSARG00000019210.1)
Source: RNAcentral